This 99-nucleotide small RNA is filed under the name Methylophaga frappieri. Its description in RNAcentral is "Methylophaga sp. JAM7 t44 RNA". It matches the Rfam family "t44 RNA". From Rfam's summary of the family: This family consists of a number of bacterial RNA genes of between 135 and 170 bases in length. The t44 gene is found between the map and rpsB genes in all species in the full alignment apart from Shigella flexneri. Lineage: Bacteria; Pseudomonadati; Pseudomonadota; Gammaproteobacteria; Thiotrichales; Piscirickettsiaceae. The record is from Rfam by way of RNAcentral.
GUUAUUACGGGACAAAAUCACACAUAUGCCGGCACAGCUAUCGGGGUGCUGCCUGAUUAAAUUCGGGGGGUCGAUGGUUGGGGUGUAUGGAGGAUUAAC